Long non-coding RNA from Sitodiplosis mosellana (orange wheat blossom midge), 742 nucleotides. RefSeq lists it as uncharacterized. NCBI's taxonomy places the organism in Eukaryota, Metazoa, Arthropoda, Insecta, Diptera, Cecidomyiidae. The record is from RefSeq and is a predicted model, not a curated record. The transcript is spliced from 5 exons.
CUUAUUCUUCACAUAAACCACUCAUUUCAGUGAAUCAGUAAUGAGAGCUAAUUACUAUUUCGGACGACUCAUUUCCAGUGAAGAUUGACUUUCUUUGAUCAUUUAAAUAAUCACCAAUCGAUUUUUAAAAUAUUCCCAACAGCAAAAUUUGUUCGGUUGUUUGUUUUGUUUUUUAUAUUUUCUUCGUUGUUCCUAUUUUUUCGUAAUACGAACGAAAAAAAUUCGGAAAAAGAAGAAGCCGCUAAUAGUUUGCCGGUGCUAUCAAACUCUCUUCGCAAAAGGUCAUUUGCUAUCGAUUUUCUUACAAGAAAAUAGAACUCAAGCAUGCAUACGUGUUGAUUAAAAAUUAGCAUCGGAACAAUAUUUGUACGUUGGAUAAGGUGACCUUGAAAUCAGUGCAUACAGUGUUCAUGCUCGCUGGAAAUCGCUGGCUUCGUUUGCAAGGAGGUGACGGUUUUAAAUGGUCAACACAAACACAAAACACUAGACGAAAACUAUUCGCAGCGUCUUGUGAAUGUGAUAACUGAGUAAACCGUUUGGAGAUCGGUUGAAACAGCAUUUGUUUGAAGAAGAGAGCAGAAGAGAGCAGAAGAGAGCAAUCAAGCUUCGAGGAACGACAGACUUGUUGGUAUCUGGAUUCUUUUGCAACCACUGUGUGAACUGUGUGCCUGGUGAUCAUCGUGAUAGCUCAUUUGUGUACAUCCAAAACGGCUUGCAACUAUUACCGAAAGACACGAUCGAC